This 67-nucleotide transfer RNA is filed under the name Apharyngostrigea pipientis. RNAcentral describes it as "tRNA-Arg". Lineage: Eukaryota; Metazoa; Platyhelminthes; Trematoda; Diplostomida; Strigeidae. The record is from RNAcentral.
UUUGACAUUCUCUAUAGGAGAGUCUGUGUUUCGGCCACAGGAGUUGAAGUUUAUAUUUCUGUCAAAU